AUUGAACGCUGCCGGCUGGCCUAACACAUGCAAGUCGACCGUGUGGCGGACGGGCGAGUAAUGUCUGGGCACCUGCCCGCUGGUCGGGGCUAACUACCGGCACCGGUAGCUAAUUCCGCAUACCAUCCGAUGUGCCCAGAUGGGAUUAGCUAGUUGGUGGGGUAACGGCUCACCAAGGCGACGAUCCCUAGCUGGUCUGAGAGGAUGACUAGCCACACUGGAACUGAGACACGGUCCAGAUUCCUACGGGAGGCAGCAGUGGGGAAUAUUGGACAAUGAGCGAAAGCCUGAUGCAGCGAGGCCGCGGGGAAGAAGAAGGCGUUCGUGUUGUAAAGGACUGGCAGCGGGGAGGCGUGAGCCGCAGAAGAAGCACCGGCUAACUCCAUGCCAGCAGCCGCGGUAAUUC
RNAcentral lists this ribosomal RNA (406 nucleotides) under uncultured bacterium. Its description in RNAcentral is "partial 16S ribosomal RNA". It matches the Rfam family "Bacterial small subunit ribosomal RNA", at positions 29 to 526 of the family's 1533-position model. The record is from RNAcentral.